This 719-nucleotide long non-coding RNA is filed under the name Equus caballus (horse). Its description in RNAcentral is "lncRNA (ENSECAG00000041004.2)". The record is from RNAcentral. Lineage: Eukaryota; Metazoa; Chordata; Mammalia; Perissodactyla; Equidae.
CCCGGUUUGCGGGGUCUCCCGGGAAGCCAGCCCCACAUUUUCUAAGGAGCUGUAGCUUCUAUUCCUCUGCAGCGUCAGCCUCCCCUCGGCCAUUGCCAAAGGCACUUAGACAGCCCAGCCCGGGGCAUUCACAGAAGAGCCGAGUCAUCCCUUAUGAGGCCACAUGCACUCAGUGGUCCCCGGAGCCUCUGUCCGGAGGUCAGGGGGCGCCUGGAAAUUCUGGGAGCAUACUGCAGAGUCAGGGGGUGAAGCCCUGCUCUGCGGCCGGCCGAGGCCUGUGGGGAGGCAGAGAGCCAGUGGCUGCGUCAGGAAUACUCAUUCUCGGCUCUGGAGGUAGGGCUUUCAGGGCCCCGUCGAGACCGUGAGCAUCCGUGCUGCAGGGGCUGGCUUCCUCAGUCCUGCCUCCAGCCCCUAGACGGAAGGACUGGCGUGUGUGGCCAGCCAGCUCAGGACCGCUCUUGGUCAAAUCGAGGUGCAUCUGGCCAGACAACAUGAUGCAGCCUGGAAUUGCCAUCUCUCCUCCUGGGAGGUUUAUCCCUCCCAUCUGCUACAUUUCACCCAAAUGAGGAUGCAGAUCAGAAACAUGUUGCAGUAUGAGCUCUCUGCAGAAUUGGUGUGUGCUCCAUCUUUGAAUGUAUCACUCUCAUCACAGUGCCUGGUAUACAGCAGUUUCUCACUAAACACUUACUAACUCAUUUAAUAAAUGACUGAGUGAGCCA